GAAAUGCGAUAAGUAAUGUGAAUUGCAGAAUUCAGUGAAUCAUCGAAUCUUUGAACGCACCUUGCGCUCCUUGGUAUUCCGAGGAGCAUGCCUGUUUGAGUGUCAUGGAAUUCUCAACUCUAUUUGCUUUUGUGAAUAGAGCUUGGAUUUGGAGGUUUAUUGCUGGUACUUGUGAUCGGCUCCUCUUGAAUGCAUUAGCUCGAACCUUUGCGGAUCAGCUAUCGGUGUGAUAAUUGUCUACGCCGUUGCAGUGAAGCAUAUCAAUGGGCUCGGCUUCCAAUCGUCCUUUACUGGACAAUGACUUUGACCUUUGACCUCAAAUCAGGUAGGAUUACCCGCUGAACUUAAGA
This 350-nucleotide unclassified non-coding RNA is filed under the name plant metagenome. RNAcentral's name for it is "partial contains 5.8S ribosomal RNA, internal transcribed spacer 2, and large subunit ribosomal RNA". The stretch from base 1 to 105 matches the Rfam family "5.8S ribosomal RNA", at positions 50 to 154 of the family's 154-position model. The record is from RNAcentral.